This 691-nucleotide ribosomal RNA is filed under the name Halomonas sp. YIM 94290. RNAcentral describes it as "bacterial SSU rRNA". It matches the Rfam family "Bacterial small subunit ribosomal RNA", at positions 66 to 751 of the family's 1533-position model. The record is from RNAcentral. Lineage: Bacteria; Pseudomonadati; Pseudomonadota; Gammaproteobacteria; Oceanospirillales; Halomonadaceae.
GCAGCGGGAGGUGCUUGCACCUCGCCGGCGAGCGGCGGACGGGUGAGUAAUGCAUAGGAAUCUGCCCGGUAGUGGGGGAUAACCUGGGGAAACCCAGGCUAAUACCGCAUACGUCCUACGGGAGAAAGCAGGGGAUCUUCGGACCUUGCGCUAUCGGAUGAGCCUAUGCCGGAUUAGCUGGUUGGUAGGGUAAUGGCCUACCAAGGCAACGAUCCGUAGCUGGUCUGAGAGGAUGAUCAGCCACACUGGGACUGAGACACGGCCCAGACUCCUACGGGAGGCAGCAGUGGGGAAUAUUGGACAAUGGGCGAAAGCCUGAUCCAGCCAUGCCGCGUGUGUGAAGAAGGCUUUCGGGUUGUAAAGCACUUUCAGUGGGGAAGAAAGCCUGUCGGUUAAUACCCGACAGGAACGACAUCACCCACAGAAGAAGCACCGGCUAACUCCGUGCCAGCAGCCGCGGUAAUACGGAGGGUGCGAGCGUUAAUCGGAAUUACUGGGCGUAAAGCGCGCGUAGGCGGCGUGAUAAGCCGGUUGUGAAAGCCCCGGGCUCAACCUGGGAACGGCAUCCGGAACUGUCGCGCUAGAGUGCAGGAGAGGAAGGUAGAAUUCCCGGUGUAGCGGUGAAAUGCGUAGAGAUCGGGAGGAAUACCAGUGGCGAAGGCGGCCUUCUGGACUGACACUGACGCUGAGG